AUCAAUUCUCCAGGACCCUGUAUCUGUAAAUGUAUUAACUUAUCUUUCCUCCUCGACUGCUAGUUCCCCUUCCGUGUAGUAUAGAGCCCCAAAAUUAGUCCAAUUGUCAAACCAGAAGCUAGAGUUCCCAUUUUUUAAUUGCCACCAAAUAUAAGGCUCCACUUCCUCCCGACCAUUAAUCAUACUUCUCCAGGCUUGUGAGGCACCUGUACCCACGGCCAAAACAGGAUGCCUUUUUUUGCAAUAUUUAUUGCCAAUAUAAACACUCCAUAAAGAUCCAACAGAUGUUCUAAAAUUCCACCAAAGCUUCACAUGCAUUGCCCUAUUUAUUACCUCUAAAGAUCUAAACCCCAGGCCUC
RNAcentral lists this long non-coding RNA (359 nucleotides) under Solanum tuberosum (potato). RNAcentral describes it as "long non-coding RNA (STUB_LNC006620)". Lineage: Eukaryota; Viridiplantae; Streptophyta; Magnoliopsida; Solanales; Solanaceae. The record is from RNAcentral.